GUUUUGAUCUUAACUGGUCUGUGUUCUACGAACAAGAAGGUGCUCACCUGACAGCACAGAACAGAGUGGAAAAUGUAUGUGGAAGCAUCAACAGAUUUCAUAGUGGAAUUUUGUUAGAUUCUGUGGCUGUCUCUUCUCAAUGCCUCAUUAGCGAAGAGGUGGCCUUUUUGAAGCUGACUGACAAGCGUCCUGCUGAUCUUAUUCCCUGCUGGCAUGGUUGGAUCUUGACAAGGGCAGGAAGGAAAAGAAAGGAAAGCUAUCUGUGAUCCAAAGGCCUGAGACUUUGGGGGAAAAAUGUUCCCAAUGGGACCUUCAUGACUGAACUCCACAAUUUGUAUGUGUGUUAAAAUAACAUCGGAUCCACCUUUCAAAGAAGAUCAUUAUUUUUGAAAUACAGAUGUGAAACAUCAGCUUCUACAUAUGUUUACAACAUGUAUAAAGACUAAUGCAGGAAAGAAUGAGAAUAUUCCUAUUAUAUCUAUUUUGUAAGGAGAAGAGGUGAAUCUUUAUGAGAAUUCUCAAAAAGAAAAUUUAAGGGGCAGAAUUUUCAGUGUAGUUAUGCAAUCUGUUCUUUCAGGGUGAUGUCCUUCCAUCAUCACUAACAAGUGUUCCCACCCUUUGACAUUUGCUAGUACACUAUUUGGUCAUAGCAACGGUAAAAUAUGUUCCUUGUUUUACUUUGUUAAAAGGAAAUGCAUCAUCUAUUGUACUAGUUCUGGGUGAAGCUUACAGGUUUAUAGGGAAUUCCUGAUAAGAAUGUUAACAACAAACUCCAUGGCUACUUAAUAGUGAGCUGAGGAUUUGAUUUGAAAAUGCAUACCAGAUGUUCUCAUUAAAGUAUUUUGACUUCUUUAUUUUUCUAUUUAUACUAAAAGAGGUAAGUGAGAUCUUAGAGUAAAACCCACAAAAGCAGAUAUCACUAUUAUUGGAGUUCUAGUUUGAUCACUGAAUUCUUUUCCUUCACAUCACUAAAUAUAGCAAAAGUAUGAGAUACCUUAUAUAGCUUAAAACAUGGGUUAACACAUCAAAGGAUCACCAUGUAGGUUAUAAAUGGAAUCUCUUUAAGAGAUGAAUGAAUAGUUCCUCUACGUAUUAUUUGAUGUAUUUAUAGUUAAACAUCUCAGUGUAGCAAAUUAAUCCUUCUCUAAGUCAGAGUUCCCUUUGCUGCCAAGUGAAGAUCAUAGUAACUGGCACACCUGCUUCAGCGAUUUGUACUGAUGAUCAUAUGAGAAAUGUUUAUAGAAUUAACUUAUAAGUGAUGAAGCA
RNAcentral lists this long non-coding RNA (1266 nucleotides) under Vulpes vulpes (red fox). RNAcentral describes it as "lncRNA (ENSVVUG00000007724.1)". The record is from RNAcentral. Lineage: Eukaryota; Metazoa; Chordata; Mammalia; Carnivora; Canidae.